GGCUGUAGCUCAGAAGGUAGAGCAACGGACUUUUAAUCCGUAGGUCGUGGGUUCGAGUCCCACCAGCCUCA
This 71-nucleotide transfer RNA is filed under the name Planctomycetota bacterium. RNAcentral describes it as "Planctomycetes bacterium (hot springs metagenome) tRNA-Lys". It matches the Rfam family "tRNA". From Rfam's summary of the family: Transfer RNA (tRNA) molecules are approximately 80 nucleotides in length. Lineage: Bacteria; Pseudomonadati; Planctomycetota. The record is from RNAcentral.